GGAUGUGAGGGUGAUCUGGCUGUGACAUAUGUCACCCCAUUGAUUGCCAGGGUUGAUUCAGCUGAUCUGGCUGGCUAGAUGGGUAUCCCUUUCUGCGCUCCAUGUGUAUCCCUCCUGAGGCUGCAUGCUCAGUUGAAGAGGACAACCACUCCCCAUAGAGAAGGACUGGUCUUCGGUAAAGGGUAUACAAGUAGCUGCACUCCCCUGCUUGAACCUCUAAACAAGCUCUCAAGAUAAUGGUCAACCAAAGAGGGUUGCAAAGUUUGAUAUAUUUGGUGUGCUCAUAUUAUGUGAUCUAAU
This 300-nucleotide small nuclear RNA is filed under the name Cebus imitator (Panamanian white-faced capuchin). RNAcentral describes it as "7SK RNA (ENSCCAG00000007378.1)". It matches the Rfam family "7SK RNA". From Rfam's summary of the family: 7SK was discovered as an abundant small nuclear RNA in the mid-70s but a possible function has only recently been suggested. Lineage: Eukaryota; Metazoa; Chordata; Mammalia; Primates; Cebidae. The record is from Rfam by way of RNAcentral.